This 253-nucleotide ribosomal RNA is filed under the name uncultured prokaryote. RNAcentral describes it as "partial 16S ribosomal RNA". It matches the Rfam family "Bacterial small subunit ribosomal RNA", at positions 524 to 776 of the family's 1533-position model. The record is from RNAcentral.
UACAGAGGUCUCAAGCGUUGUUCGGAUUCAUUGGGCGUAAAGGGUGCGUAGGUGGCGCCAUAAGUCAGGUGUGAAAUCUCCGGGCUUAACUCGGAGCCUGCAGGCGAAACUGUGGUGCUGGAGUGUGGGAGAGGUGCGUGGAAUUCCCGGUGUAGCGGUGAAAUGCGUAGAUAUCGGGAGUAACACCUGUGGCGAAAGCGGCGCACUGGACCAUAACUGACGCUGAGGCGCGAAAGCUAGGGGAGCAAACAGG